Molecule: ribosomal RNA, 601 nt
Filed under: Aeromonas media
Lineage: Bacteria; Pseudomonadati; Pseudomonadota; Gammaproteobacteria; Aeromonadales; Aeromonadaceae
Description: bacterial SSU rRNA
Rfam family: Bacterial small subunit ribosomal RNA
Source: RNAcentral
GUCCUUGAGACGUGGCUUCCGGAGCUAACGCGUUAAAUUGACCGCCUGGGGAGUACGGCCGCAAGGUUAAAACUCAAAUGAAUUGACGGGGGCCCGCACCAGCGGUGGAGCAUGUGGUUUAAUUCGAUGCAACGCGAAGAACCUUACCUGGCCUUGACAUGUCUGGAAUCUUGUAGAGAUACGGGAGUGCCUUUGGGAAUCAGAACACAGGUGCUGCAUGGCGGUUGUCAGCUCGUGUCUUGAGAUGUUUGGUUAAAUCCCGCAACGAGCGCAACCCCUUUCCUUUGUUGCCAGCACGUAAUGGUGGGAACUCAAGGGAGACUGCCGGUGAUAAACCGGAGGAAGGUGGGGAUGACGUCAAGUCAUCAUGGCCCUUACGGCCAGGGCUACACACGUGCUACAAUGGCGCGUACAGAGGGCAGCGAGCUAGCGAUAGCGAGCGAAUCCCAAAAAGCGCGUCGUAGUCCGGAUCGGAGUCUGCAACUCGACUCCGUGAAGUCGGAAUCGCUAGUAAUCGCAAAUCAGAAUGUUGCGGUGAAUACGUUCCCGGGCCUUGUACACACCGCCCGUCACACCAUGGGAGUGGGUUGCACCCGAAGUA